RNAcentral lists this ribosomal RNA (492 nucleotides) under uncultured bacterium. Its description in RNAcentral is "partial 16S ribosomal RNA". It matches the Rfam family "Bacterial small subunit ribosomal RNA", at positions 29 to 507 of the family's 1533-position model. The record is from RNAcentral.
AGUGAACGCUGGCGGUAGGCCUAACACAUGCAAGUCGAACGGCAGCACAGUAAGAGCUUGCUCUUACGGGUGGCGAGUGGCGGACGGGUGAGGAAUACAUCGGAAUCUACUUUUUCGUGGGGGAUAACGUAGGGAAACUUACGCUAAUACCGCAUACGACCUACGGGUGAAAGCAGGGGAUCUUCGGACCUUUCGCGAUUGAAUGAGCCGAUGUCGGAUUAGCUAGUUGGCGGGGUAAAGGCCCACCAAGGCGACGAUCCGUAGCUGGUCUGAGAGGAUGAUCAGCCACACUGGAGCUGAGACACGGUCCAGACUCCUACGGGAGGCAGCAGUGGGGAAUAUUGGACAAUGGGCGCAAGCCUGAUCCAGCCAUACCGCGUGGGUGAAGAAGGCCUUCGGGUUGUAAAGCCCUUUUGUUGGGAAAGAAAAGCAGCAGGUUAAUACCCCGCUGUUCUGACGGUACCCAAAGAAUAAGCACCGGCUAACUUCGUG